Peromyscus maniculatus bairdii (prairie deer mouse) is the source of this 626-nucleotide non-coding RNA. Lineage: Eukaryota; Metazoa; Chordata; Mammalia; Rodentia; Cricetidae. The record is from RefSeq and is a predicted model, not a curated record.
CUCAGUCAGACCAACAGGACCCAGCCUAGACUGUGCUGGCAUGACGAUGAUUCAGGAAGGCAAGCCUGGAGCUGCUGGUGACCAUCUUUGUCAGUCACAAGGAAUAGCUUCCCAAGAAGGAAGGUGACAGCAGCACUCAGCCAUGGGAUGAAGACAUCAGUGACAUCAGGCUUAGGCCUCUCCUGGUACUCUGUUUUCUACAUAUCAAAUCUAAGACCUCUUGCAACCCACAACAGGACUAUGGAUGAGGGGCCUGGCUUUUUGCUCCACACUCUUGGAGGACACUGGCCAUAUCUCAGGCCCUUCCCCUGGGCAGCAUCUUGCCGAGUAACUAACAAAUCCACAAGCUCCAUGGCUGGAACUGAACAGGAGUAUUAAAGUUGCCAAGAAACGGGGUGAGGAAAAGAGGCAGGCUUGAACUGGAGAGUUGGUUCUCCUUCUACAGGAAGGGAUUGCUGGGGUGACCUGCUGGUCCUUCUGUGUGCUGGUGCACUUAGGUGUCAAGCAAGUGAAACCAAUCCCCAAGAUCCCUUUUCAGUUCUAACAUUCCAGAAGCUUCUAUUACCCCUGGGCUCCUCUUCAUUAUGUAUGGGGUGGGAUAAUUGAUUACAAUUCUCAUACUUGUC